CGGGGAAGAGAGAUCGAAAAGACGGGUGCAUAAUCGUUGAAGUGGAAGAGGAGAGAGGUGUGGAAGAGGGAAUAGGUGCCAAGGGCAGGGAGGAGGGUAUUAAAGGAGCAGAAGGCAGGCUGGGUGAAGAUGAAGAUGAGAAUGGAGAACAGGAGUGGAGCAAAGUAUUAGAGCAAAGGGGACCAGUGAGGAGGGGAACGAAGAAUCUCAGAAGAUGACUGGGCGGUUGGAAAAAGAAGGAGCGGAGGAAAGGAGAGGGUGAUGGAGAAAAGGCUAAGGAAAGGAAAGGAGAAGAGAAGAGAAAGCAGUAGCAGCAGGAAUUGAGCACUGUAGCGGAGCAGGCGACGAAGGCUGCAGUGCAGGCGCUCCAGUUCAUGUCCAGUUUCCUGUUUCUGUCUGCAUCACUGCUCCUUCUCUUUUUCUGAUGCACAAGAUGGCGCACCAGCGAUGCAGGGAAGACGCACCGGAUUCGCAGGGCUCCUUCAACAAAGUGGAGUGAACUGCCCUAUACUGCACUGUAUCAUACACCAGGAGGCCCUCUGUGCCAAGACACUGAACUAACCAUGUUAUGGACUAAAGUAACAAAUCUCAUCCGAGGAGGGAAGAGAUCCCUCAGUCACACGAGAUUUAUAGCCUUUUUGGAUGAAGUGGACGCCGCAUAUGGGGAUUUACAAAUGCACACCGAGGUCUGAUGAAUGAGUCGGGGGAAGUGUCUUGAGCGAUUUUUUUUGCGCUGUGCUCCGAAAUUCCAGUGUGUUUGGAAGACAGCGUUCGUGGUGAUAUGAGUGCUUACUGCAGGAAACUCAAAGACACAACGUUUCUGUGCAACAUGGCAUUCCUUACUGACAUUACCGUACACCUCAAUGACCUGAACACAAAGAUGCAUGGGAGACACCAAACUGUGUGUGACCUGUGUGCACACAUCAACGCAUUUCAGCGCAAAUUAGACCUGUUCAAAGAGGGAUUUUCAUCCCAUCUUCCGAAUUUGACACACUUUCCUGCUUAUGAGGAGAUGCGAAAAAGUGUCCCAGAGUGCGAAGGCUUACUUCACAAAUAUAAGACAGAUAUCGAGAAAAUGCAGGAGCAGUUCAAGCAUCGUUUCCAAGAUUUUCAUGCAAUCCAGCCACAGAUAGCGCUCUUAGUGGACCCCCUCUCCCGUGCUGUCAGCAAGCAACCUUCUGAAUAGCAGCUUGAACUUUGCGACCUGCAGUGUGAUCCAUUUUUUCAGGCGAGGCACAAUGAGAAGCGAAUUCCGUUUUGGAGUCUGCUGCCUGAAUGCCCGCUGCGAGAUUUUUCUCUCAAGGUCCUGUAUGUUUGGGAGCACAUUUGUGAGAACAGUUUUUUGACAAUGAAGCACAUCAAGUCAAAAGAGAGAAACAGGCCCACGAAUGACACUUUUUUUAUCUGAUGCGAAUUGGAUGCAAAAAGAUUGACAUUGACAUCCACUCUAUUGUGCGCCAACAGGCAAAGCCACAAGUUUAUCAUUAAAGGAGAACCAGGGGUGAGGUAGAGGAGGUGUGCAGGGAAAAUGUUAAAAUAUUUUUAAAAAAGAGUUGGAUUUUUAUGUAUGACAGCACUUUGCACCAAAAAAAAAAAUCACAUAUCUGGUUAUUUGUUUGCUUCAAAGCUUGUGUUGUUUAAGAAGAUCUGUUAUACAUGCAUUUGAGCAUGAAAUAUCUUAAGAUGCAGUGACUAUUGCCUGGGUUGUUUCGAACAGUGAGCUGAACACAGAACAAAGAGUUUUCAUAUUCAAUGUAUGGCGACAAGUCACCAUUUUGGGGUGUUUUGAGUGUUACGUCCCCCAGCUUGCAGUGUGUGUCUCCUGAUUACAGAUGAGCCACACCUGAGCGGAGCCUGUGUUUGCGCUACAGAGUUGCUACAAUACAGUCAGUCAGGCGCGCGCCCGCAAAGCAGACAGUCGCGCCGCCGUUUUCUUUUUUUGAAUAUUAAUUCUCAC
Long non-coding RNA from Gasterosteus aculeatus aculeatus (three-spined stickleback), 1957 nucleotides. Lineage: Eukaryota; Metazoa; Chordata; Actinopteri; Perciformes; Gasterosteidae. The record is from Ensembl.